Molecule: small nuclear RNA, 23 nt
Filed under: Arabidopsis thaliana (thale cress)
Lineage: Eukaryota; Viridiplantae; Streptophyta; Magnoliopsida; Brassicales; Brassicaceae
Description: snRNA_12672
Source: RNAcentral
GAUUGGCGGGAUCCCUCGCGGGU